AGAGUUUGAUCCUGGCUCAGGAUGAACGCUAGCGGCAGGCUUAACACAUGCAAGUCGAGGGGUAACAGGGAUUGCUUGCAAUCCGCUGACGACCGGCGCACGGGUGCGUAACGCGUAUGCAACCUACCUUCUACAGGGGGAUAGUCAAUAGAAAUGUUGAAUAAUACCCCAUACGAUCAUAAAUUGGCAUCAAUUUAUGAGGAAAGUUCCGGCGGUAGAAGAUGGGCAUGCGUCCUAUUAGUUAGUUGGUAAGGUAACGGCUUACCAAGACAUCGAUAGGUAGGGGUCCUGAGAGGGAGAUCCCCCACACUGGUACUGAGACACGGACCAGACUCCUACGGGAGGCAGCAGUGAGGAAUAUUGGACAAUGGAGGCAACUCUGAUCCAGCCAUGCCGCGUGCAGGAAGACGGCCCUAUGGGUUGUAAACUGCUUUUAUACAGGAAGAAUGGUACCUACGUGUAGGUAUUUGACGGUACUGUACGAAUAAGGAUCGGCUAACUCCGUGCCAGCAGCCGCGGUAAU
This 523-nucleotide ribosomal RNA is filed under the name uncultured Flavobacterium sp. Its description in RNAcentral is "bacterial SSU rRNA". It matches the Rfam family "Bacterial small subunit ribosomal RNA", at positions 8 to 524 of the family's 1533-position model. Lineage: Bacteria; Pseudomonadati; Bacteroidota; Flavobacteriia; Flavobacteriales; Flavobacteriaceae. The record is from RNAcentral.